GGACUCGGGGGGAAGUAUGCUCGCAAGGGUGAAACUUAAAGAAAUUGACGGAAGGGCACCACCAGGUGUGGAGCCUGCGGCUUAAUUCGACUCAACACGGGAAAACUUACCAGGUCCAGACAUAGUGAGGAUUGACAGAUUAAAGCUCUUUCUUGAUUCUAUGGGUAGUGGUGCAUGGCCGUUCUUAGUUGGUGGAGUGAUUUGUCUGGUUAAUUCCGUUAACGAACGAGACCUCAGCCUGCUAAUUAGUAGGGCAUAUUGUUUGGUGUCCGAUUCGGGUAGGUUUAGGCUUGCCCGAGGAGGUCGCUUUGAUAUGAGCAGUAGCUAGCUUCGGUUGGCGACUGCGUUCGACUUCUUAGAGGGACUAUCGGUUUCUAGCCGAAGGAAGUUUGAGGCAAUAACAGGUCUGUGAUGCCCUUAGAUGUUCUGGGCUGCACGCGCGCUACAAUGGCGCAUUCAACGAGUUUUGCUCCUCGGCCGGAAGGCUUGGGUAAUCUUUAAAAUGCGCCGUGAUUGGGAUAGAUGAUUGUAAUUAUUCAUCUUGAACGAGGAAUAUCUAGUAAAUGUAAGUCAUCAACUUGCAUUGAUUACGUCCCUGCCCUUUGUACACACCGCCCGUCGCUCCUACCGAUUGAAUGAUCCGGUGAAUGCCGUGGAUGGUGUUCCAGUAGCGGUUUUUUAAAUCGCUUAUCUGGACUGCCAGAAGCAGUAUAAACCAAAUCAUUUAGAGGAAGGAGAAGUCGUAACAAGGUAACCGUAGGAGGGCGAAUUCCACAUUGGG
This 781-nucleotide ribosomal RNA is filed under the name uncultured Haplosporidia. RNAcentral describes it as "SSU rRNA". It matches the Rfam family "Eukaryotic small subunit ribosomal RNA", at positions 1109 to 1831 of the family's 1831-position model. Lineage: Eukaryota; Endomyxa; Ascetosporea; Haplosporida. The record is from RNAcentral.